RNAcentral lists this non-coding RNA (178 nucleotides) under Candidatus Ruthia endofausta. Its description in RNAcentral is "6S RNA". It matches the Rfam family "6S / SsrS RNA". From Rfam's summary of the family: E. coli 6S RNA was the first non coding RNA to be sequenced, but its function was unknown until recently. Lineage: Bacteria; Pseudomonadati; Pseudomonadota; Gammaproteobacteria; Pseudothioglobaceae (SeqCode). The record is from RNAcentral.
AUUUAUCCGUUGUGUUUGUGAUUGGUAUACCCUGAGCCGAUAAAUAAAUACAUCAGGAAAUGCGAUAGCUUACUAUUGAGCAAGCCCAUCUUGAAAUGGGAAGCCUGCGGUAAUCUUCAAACUUCCGCCUUGAGCCUUAUGGUUCAGGUUUUCUUCAACACGGCACAAUGGACUUUUU